CUAUGACAAGAUUGCUGUCAUGGCGGAAGGAG
RNAcentral lists this non-coding RNA (32 nucleotides) under unclassified sequences. RNAcentral describes it as "L31-Firmicutes ribosomal protein leader". It matches the Rfam family "L31-Firmicutes ribosomal protein leader". The record is from RNAcentral.